Molecule: non-coding RNA, 1292 nt
Organism: Coturnix japonica (Japanese quail)
Lineage: Eukaryota; Metazoa; Chordata; Aves; Galliformes; Phasianidae
Source: RefSeq, a predicted model, not a curated record
GUAACAAUAGAAAUAAGUGACUAUAGCUGUCAAUAACUUUUCUGAGUAGUUUGUAUUGUAGAGAGAUCUAAUAUAGUGGUUUGUUAUGUUUUAAGAGCAGGUGUUCCACCUGGCCUCUGUAUCAUGCACUGGCCAUGCAUAUAUGGAGCACAUGUGAAAAAACCUUGCAAUCUCUAGCAAGAAUUAAAACAGGAGAGAAUCUGUGAUGGGUGAGAAAGGCAAAGUGCACUUUGAAGCAGGGGAUGCCUUGCAGGCAGUGCCUAUCACAUUCACCACUAUUGUAUUCCUUCUCUCUCCUUUUGGUGGUUUAUCACCUCAUAGUUGUCGAUAAGUAAUAAUACAUUAGCUUAGAAAUUUCCAUUUAUAGAAUUGUCUAAAAUGAAUGCUUGAAUGAGUGUGUAUAUGUCAACUCAAAAAAUUAUGACCUUACAUGUAACCUUAUGUUUAGUGCAUUGUCAGUCAAGGUUUUGAUUGAGUGAUGAUUAUGUUAACAUUUAAGUCCCCUGCAGCUCAGCGACACUGGGCCACUGCCAUCGUGGUCCUUGGUGUGCCGCGACAUAUCAAGACAGACAAUGGCUCGUGCUUCAUCUCGCAAUCUACUCAAGAAUGGCUUGAGCAUUGGGGAAUAUCUCACUCGACAGGAAUCCCUGGGAAUUCCCAGGGGCAAGCAAUUGUGGAAAGGGCCAACCGUCUCCUGAAGGACAAGAUACGUGUCCUUGGGGAGGGGGAAGGUCACAGAGAAUAGAGCUGCAAUAGAUUUCCUGCUGCUGGCUCAAGAGGCACAGGUGCAAGGACUUUGAAGGGUUGCUUACAACUUACGAUGGAAAGAGUGCUUAAUGAGAGAAUGGAGUUCCAGCGGAUAUACAAGAAGCUUUGCGCAGAAGGAUGAACUGUAUAAUAUAACCAAAGAUGCCUUGGACAUACUGUUUAGAACACCACUAACAUUGUUAGACAUUGCACCACUUAUCUCUGCAUGUUUUGUAACCUGUAUACCUCACUUUAUAGUUAAUCUGUAACAAAGUUUAAAUUAUAUAAGUACUAACACUUUUAUAUAUUAGGAUUAGGAUCGGCGCUUGCGUUGUAACGGGGCAUGGUUUUGUUAAGCAUGGGGCGGGGGAGAUGUUGCAUUAGGCGUGCACGAACACUCGGGAUGUAACGCGAUAGGCCCUCCCCUGCUCGGUUAUGCAUAUGUAGAAGGAGUUAUGCAUAUGUAGAAGGGGUGUAGACGAAGUAGAUAGCGGCUUAUUUAAACUGCUAACACACACAAUAAAACGCCAUUUAGCUAUUCACCA